Equus caballus (horse) is the source of this 1833-nucleotide long non-coding RNA. Lineage: Eukaryota; Metazoa; Chordata; Mammalia; Perissodactyla; Equidae. The record is from Ensembl.
CCCAAAGCCCCCCGGUACAUAGUUGUAUAUUCUUCGUUGUGGGUCCUUCUAGUUGUGGCAUGUGGGACGCUGCCUCAGCGUGGUUUGAUGAGCAGUGCCAUGUCCGCGCCCAGGAUUCGAACCAACGAAACACUGGGCCGCCUGCAGCGGAGCGCGCGAACUUAACCACUCGGCCACGGGGCCAGCCCCUCUCUUUCUUCUUUUUUUAGUGGUUAAAUAAUUGAUAAGAUUAUCAACAGCGUGUUGAUUACAAAUAACGAGAGAGAUGCUAGAGGUGGUGAAUUUUCCAAAUGGGGAACCACGAUACACAAUGGAAGGGCCCAGGGGUCCAGCCACCUGUAAAUAAACGGAGUUGGGGGCAAGGGGCCAGGGCUGUUCCUGCUGCUUCUUGACAGAAAUCCCCUUCUCCCUUGCCACCAGCAUCUCAUAGAUGGGGUCCACAGUCACUGCUGCCUGGAUGGACUUGCUCCAUUUGUCCUUCUCCUCCUAUGGGGCUGAGACCUGUACACCAUGUGGUUCUCCUCAACCACCCAGCCAUCUGCCUCCAUUUUCCUGGCUUUGAUGAGCUAUCCCUCGUUUUGGGGAAUGUAAAGCUCAAAGCAGGAAGGUUUCUGGGGGUCAUCCAGCUCUAGGCUGCUCAGAUUCUCCAGGAGUAUGAUUCCUCUGGCUCCUUGUCCAUCAUGCACUCAAAAUAGUAGAGGCAGUUGUGGGUAAGGAUAACCCAGAGCAGCUUCCAUGUCUUCACGCAGAGCCCUCCCAGCUUAAGGAGCCAGCCUUCCCGGUCUGGGUUAAAGAAGCUGUGGGUCGGAUCAUUUCCAUCAUCCUCAGGAAUCUGGAAGGGCUCAUUUCAGGUUCUGUCCUAGAGGUUCCUGAGCAGCUCCUCAAGCUGGUCCUGCCCUUGUUGAUUGCCCUGGUUCAUGGCCACAAAGUGCUCCAGGCCCAGCUUGUCCCAGACGUUGGGAUUGUAAAGGCUGGUGGUGCUCAGCAUGAUCAUGGUGAAAGACAGCACGUAGGACAUGCUUGUGGACUGGAAAACCCCAGGGCUGCACAGACAGUAUGGCUGGGCGAAGGCUUCUAUCAUCCAGUCAAUCUCCUGGGCCUCUCCAGGGAGGCGGGAAGCUCCAUAGAAAUUGCCUGAGGGCCUGCACCAAAUUGAGGUCGGUAAACUCACGCAGAUUCACAAAAUCGUGGAGCAUUGCCAGGUUCAGCUCUUCCCUCUCCCCUACGUAAUCCCCAAGGCUGUCUUGUUCAGGCCCUUGCCGUUGUAAAGGAAAGGGGCAAGCUCGUUGGGUAUCUUCUGGAGAAGUUCAUUAUCCAGCAAGAAGUGGAUCCCCUUCUUGGGGUCCAUGUUGAAGUUCUUCCUGCCCAUUGCCCGUUGCCCGUUGCCAGGUUCUACUGCCUUCAUUGGCCUCCAGACUCCACCUGGCUCAGGGCUUCGCUGAGCUCCUCCUGCAGGUGCUGGAUCUCCACCAGCAGCUCCUGCUUCCGUGGCCGCACAUUCUCCAGCUCCAUCCGCUCCUCCAGAGUCAGGUCUGGGGGCUCAUAGAUUCAUCCUCCAUGGUGGCUAGAAAGCCAACAAGAAGUCCAGGGUGGUCCUAUCUGUCUAGCCUGGAGCGUGUUGGCCCGUAGGCUCAAGUCAAUCCACUCAAAGGCCUGGGAACCACCGCCGCCUCUGUGCCAGAUCUCAGCGCUGAAAAGACACUCGCUUGGCCUCCAAACUGCCCUGCCAGUAGGGAGUUUUGCAUCUGUAAGUGAGAUUGGUUGAUAGUUUUCUUAUAGAAAGGAAAAAAACAAAAACUGUAUAGCAGGCUAUAGUGGAGAAGAUGGAAUAGC